CAAAGACAGACCAUCUGAGCCCAGAGCAGAGCUGCUGGAUGCCAUGAGCGUAGCCCUCAGCUUCCUGGUGUUCCCUUAGCCACGUCCUCGUUACCAGGCCAAACGUGACAGGUACUGUGACACACCAACGACACAAAACAACUUACUAACGUAAUCUGCUGCUCAUAGUUUAUUUUCCACCAACCAGUGAUCAGCUGUGAGUGAUGUGGCUGUGACCUAUAGCUGGUGCUUGGCGAUUACAAACACCCACCAGCUGGUGGAGCAGGCGCCUCCCUGCCAGGAUGAUGCUUCAGGAACUUUCUGGGCACAAAGUGCUUCUUGGUGGACAAUUUUUAAAAACACACAGAGCCACGUGGGUCACCUAUUGUCACCAAGAGAAAAAAGAACCUCAAAAUCAGUGACGCGACAGGAAGAAUUCGGACCUGUUCUUUCUGAGGAAGUUCUUAUUUUUCCUGUAACUGUAUGACGGCAUCACACCUUCCUCCUGAACGUGGGGGCCAUAGUCACUGACUCCGCCAGCCUCCCACCAGUGUGCUGGUGUAGGAGGAGCUGCAGACGUCCUCAAGCAGAAGUCACUUCUGCGUCCUCAGUGGUAACUCCUGUCCCUGCUCAAGUCCUCCGCCCUCCCCCGCAGCUGUCUUUUCCCUUCGAAAAGCAGGAUGCUUGCCGCCAUGGCCGAGUUGAGGCUGUCCACACCAGGCACAACGGGGAUCAGCAGCCUCUUGCCACCAGUGCUCUCGGCCAGCUGCAGGGACUCCAGGCUCACGCCGUAGGUCUCCCCGCCAAUCACCACAGCUGCCGGCGCCUCUGUCCAGUCCGAGUCGUAACUCUGAACCUCAACAUGAGGCAGCCAAUCUUGACUGGCUCCGGUUUCUACAUCUUCCUCUUCCUCAUACUUGUGAAACUUCAUCACUCGUUGAUCACACACCCAGCCAUGGUCACUAGCUUUAUUAGACAUCUCAGCCUGGGCAUAAAGGCCACAGUUGUCAGCCACAUAGACCCGAGUGUCAGGGGGCAGGUAAUUGGGCACGGUUUCCCAUUCCAGAUUAUUGAUAAUGGGCAUCCGGAAAUGUGCGCCCAUACCCGCCCGGAGCACUUUGGGCUCCCAGGCAUCCACACAGCCUGGAAAAUAAAAAGGAAACAAUCAAGAUGUUACAAAUCUUCCCAGACCAGGGGACUGUGGAGUAAGUCUGAUCAAUUUUGGAUCAGGAGAUAAACCAGUUCUUCUAUGAUAGCUUUCUUGAGGGAUGGGACCUUCUGCCUCUCUCUGACAGCAUCCAGCACAGCGACUAUAGGAGUCACUCCUGCUAGUGCUGAAGAUAUUUUAUGCAUCCCUUCAACAUCUCCCAUUCACACGUGCCAGACACUGCGCAGAAGAUGCAAAGAUAAUGAAAGUCCCCAACCCCAAGGAACGCACAGUGUAGUGGGGUGGUAUUAAACAGAUGGCUACAGUAUCAGUAACUGAUGUAAAAGAAGCACCCACACAGUCAUAGAAAACCCACGGACAAAGCAGGGCGAUGAGGAAAACCAUCUAAAAGACCACCACACUGAGAUAAAGGCCCAGGCAGAGGACAGAGCUAGGAGAGGAAGCGGGAGAGUGGCGCAGCCUAAGGACUGCAAGCAUGGUGAGCCGGCCAAUCAGCGGUGGCGCUGUGGCGGCACAGGAGAGAAGCUAAACACCUUACUGACUGACUGCGAUCUUCUUCAGUGAAUUCCUGUGCUCCUUUAACUGUCUUGUUUCUACAACCUGUGCCCAUCUUCCUACCAG
RNAcentral lists this long non-coding RNA (1768 nucleotides) under Homo sapiens (human). RNAcentral describes it as "non-protein coding lnc-GLOD4-3:1". The record is from RNAcentral. Lineage: Eukaryota; Metazoa; Chordata; Mammalia; Primates; Hominidae.